Molecule: ribosomal RNA, 431 nt
Filed under: uncultured bacterium
Lineage: Bacteria
Description: partial 16S ribosomal RNA
Rfam family: Bacterial small subunit ribosomal RNA
Source: RNAcentral
AACGAACGCUGGCAGCAGGCCUAACACAUGCAAGUCGAGCGCCCUUUCGGGGGAGCGGCGGACGGGUGAGUAACGCGUGGGAAUAUGCCCUUCUCUACGGAAUAGCCUCGGGAAACUGAGAGUAAUACCGUAUACGCCCUGUGGGGGAAAGAUUUAUCGGGGAAGGAUUAGCCCGCGUUGGAUUAGGUAGUUGGUGGGGUAAUGGCCUACCAAGCCGACGAUCCAUAGCUGGUUUGAGAGGAUGAUCAGCCACACUGGGACUGAGACACGGCCCAGACUCCUACGGGAGGCAGCAGUGGGGAAUCUUAGACAAUGGGGGCAACCCUGAUCUAGCCAUGCCGCGUGAGUGAUGAAGGCCUUAGGGUUGUAAAGCUCUUUCAGCUGGGAAGAUAAUGACGGUACCAGCAGAAGAAGCCCCGGCUAACUCCGUG